UUUUUUUUUUUUCUUUUUUUAAAGAUUUAUUUAUUUCUUUAUUUGAGAGAGAGGAGAGAGUGAGGGCAGGGAGCAGAAGGAGAGAGAGGAAACUCAGUAUAGAGCCCAGUGCGGGAUUUGAUCUCUGAGAUCAUGACCUGAGCCGAAAUCAAGAGUCAGACACUCAACUGACUGAGCCACCCAGGUGACCCUGAGCAAUACCUUUCAUAAUUGUUGGACAUUUUAGGCCGAAUAGAAAGACUCCCAUCUGAUAAAAGGAUUCUGAUGCUAAAAACAGGCAUAUAAACAGGUUGAAAACCAUGCAGGUGCUAGGGACCGGUGGGGUUUUUGGUGGAGGACUAAUGUCAUUGUGUUGACAUGUUAAAAGCCUUGCUCUGGCUGCCAGUGUAGAGAAUGGAGUAGGAAGCAGGUGGGAGAGGGACCAGCCAGGAAGUUGCUGGAGUUAUUUUGGGCUAGGAGUAAAAGAAUAUGGCGUGCGAGGUUUUCCUGAGAAAGUAUUAACCAAAAGAUAGAGGUAGAGGCUGGUUGCAACAACACAGGUGAGUUUUGAGGAUACAGAAGUUGCCAUUGGGACCAGAAAGCCAUCCUGGAAAGUCCCCUGUACCUGCAUGAGGUGAAGCGGGAAGGAGGCAGCUGAACUGGACCGAAGCCUUACAAUUGCCUGUAGUUAGGAAAGAAAUUAGGCCCUGGUGUCACCCACUGCAGCCCCGCAUUUUAUAGGUAAAAACAUGAAGGUCUGGAGAGGUCAUUAUGACCUGUCUGAGGUCCCUGAGCAGGCCCCAACCCAGACCUAUGCUCUUGGUCCGUUGUCCAUCCUUCUCAUGGGAGCCCUGGCCUUGAAACGCUACUGUCUAGUGGAGCAAAAUAAGAGAUAACAGAGCCUGAAAUCUCCAGUUGUCCUGAAGACUCAGAGAAGGUAUUGAUACAUUUGGUUAGGCCAAGCCUUGAAGGAUGAACCAGAGUUUUGACAGAGAUGGAGGAAGGACAUUCUAGUGCAGGGUCUGACACGAGAAAGACCCAAAGGGAGUUUAUUAGCAGAAGGAACUUAACAUUAUUGUGCACUUCACAUACGUUGUCCUAUUUAGUCCUCCAAUAAAGCUUCAAGGUUGGAAUUGUUCUUGUUUUACCAUGAAGACCAAGGCUCAGAGGUAGAGGACAGAGGCUGGGUUCCCACCCAGACAUCUUUAGUUCCAGCCUAUGUGUGGAGGGUAGAAUGUGUCUUCACUCUCCACCCACUAGGUUUCAGUGGCUCCCAGUAUGGGUAGGGUCUUUGGAAAGGGUCCCAUGGGUGGCCGACUGUCUCUUCAAAAGGGCAAAAGGCAUGGACCCAGGCCUGAGAGCCUGACCUUGUCCAAGUCGCUGUGGCUGGAGGGUUUAGUCAGGGUGCGGCUUUGGAGACUGAGUUUUGCUUGCUCAGACUACUAGGGAUAGACCCAAAGGGAAUGAUUCUGGAACUUCAUCCUUAGUAUGGAAGCAGAGCCCAGUUCACAUCUCCAGAGGGGGGGUCACGAUCUUCAAGAACUUCGUUAGAGCAUGGAGCCCUUGUUAUUUCCCCACAGUGUUUUUACUCUGUUCCUUUACAGUGAUCAAUAAAACCCUGAGGGGAAGAAGAGGACUUCCAUUUUGUGGAUUCCUAAUGUGUGACCAGCACUACCUUUCAUUUCUCACCUAAACCUUUCUAAAAGCCUGUGAGUUAGGUAUUACCAGACUCAUUUUCCAGAGAAGUCCACUGAGGCUUGCAGAGAUGAAGUGAGUUCCCGGGUCCCACAGUUACACAUAGUGGAGCUGGGAGUUAGACCAGGCUUGACUGCAAAGCCCACCCUAGUUCAGGCAGCUGGGAUGCUGUGGUUAAGAAGUGAUACUUAUCUGAGGCCAAUCCCGUCACCCAGGUAGAAGGGAGAGGGCUGGGGGCCAUCCAGUGGAAGGGAACCGCGCAAAGCCCGGGGCUGCAGGUGGUUGGGAAUUUGUCAGGGCAAAGUGGAGGGUUGAGGUGGUGUGGGGAGGCAGCACCCACCAGCUCUGGGAGGGCCAGGACUAUGGGGAGAGGAUUUGAGUUAUACUCUGCGGUGAUACGGAGCCAGGGAAGGAAACUGGGAAGGGGAGCACCCAUGUCAAAUGUACUUUAAAAACUUCCCUCUGGGGCACUGCGGGUGCUGAAUCAACAGGGGCUACCCUACAGGCCUCGAGGGAGGUGGCCCAGCCUACACCAGAGACUGCAGGGCCUGACCUGUGACAGCAGUGGCACCCAGCAUGGAGGCUGCUUCUGAGCUGCACUGGGAGGAGAGUCAGGGCUGCCAGGGAUUUGGGUCGGUUCUGAACACCUGACAGCAAACUCCUCACCUCCAUCCUCAGGACCAGCUGCUCAUCUCCCAAACAAGCUCUGGUUUACACUGUACUCCUAUCAGGGAAGCUCAGAGAUGAGAAACCACAGACCAAGCUGAAGAGAGAGAGAGAGAGAGACAGAGACACAGGCAGAGGGAGAAGCAGGCUCCAUGCAGGAAGCCCGACGAGGGACUCAAUGCCGGGACUCCAGGAUCACACCCUGGGCUGAAGGCAGGUGCCAAACCACUGAGCCACCCAGGGAUCCCCCAGGAGAGCUUUUCUGUCAUGUUCGCUGCUGCAUCCUCAGAGCUCAGAACAGAGUAGAUGCUUAUUAAAACAAAACAAAACAAAACACAAACAAGUCAUACCCCUCUCCCUCUCCAAGUGGUGAAAUGAGGGUAA
This is a long non-coding RNA of Canis lupus familiaris (dog), 2724 nucleotides long. RefSeq lists it as uncharacterized. NCBI's taxonomy places the organism in Eukaryota, Metazoa, Chordata, Mammalia, Carnivora, Canidae. The transcript is spliced from 3 exons. The record is from RefSeq and is a predicted model, not a curated record.